CGUUGAAAAUGUAUUUCACCUCACCGGAGGCUUAAUUCUAGACUAGAGCAUUUUGUUCCAGUAAAAAUUUAGCAACUUCAAUUGCUUUUUGUUUUCCUCUUUUACCCAUAUAUUCUUCAGUUGCAUUCUUCAGGCUUUUCUAAUGUUUGGUUACCCUUCUUCUCCCCUUUCCCCUUCCCAUUGGGCUGCAAAUCAGUUUGGUCAAGGACUUCUUCUGGUUCCUCCUUCAUCCAGGCAAAUCUACCAUGAAUUCUUCGUUGGGUCUUGGCUUAAGGCGAUGGUCGUUCUUUGAUUUCUAAUAAUUUUCAGUCAUAACAAUUUUCCUUUCAUUGUUUCUUAUUUUCGAGCAUCUUUCUCCAUACAAGAAUAUUGAGGAGCAAAAGUUCUUGAUCGGAGUUGUUCUUAUGAUUCCUUGCUAUUCUGUAGAAUUGCAUAUCGAAGACUUGACUCAGGAAAAGUUUUCACUGUAACGAGCUCUUGAGGCCUCACGUACAUUAGCAGAAUCUUUGGCUGCUGAAAAUUCAUCUUUGAUUGAUAGUUAUAACCAACAGAGAAGCAUUGUCAACCGGCUAAGAUCUGACAUGGAGAGCUUACAAGAAGAAAUCAAGGCCCAACUGGUUAGUAUCUACUAUAUUUAGAGCUCGAGUCUUUUAAAAUGGAAUAUGCAAAUGCACGACUAGAAUGUAAUGCAGCUGAUGAACGUGCUAAUAUAUUGGCUUCUGAAGUCAUUGGUUUGGAAGAGAAGGUAACAAAGUUUUAAUGGGUAAAGGUUUUCUUCCUUCUCCAAUUUCAUUCUAUUCAUUACAGAACAUAUAUCACUCUUGAUAAUAAUGCUGAAAGAUCAGUAAGCUGCCAUGUUCGUAUAUGCAUGGUUGUAAUAUAUACCACGUGAAGGGUGUUUCUUGGACGUAUAGUAGAGCUGCAACGUUUUUAAGUGCCAGUUUAACUUAAGUGGCUCUCUAGUCCUUUUUUAUAUUUGAUUUGAUCCUGUUAUUUGCUUGUUUUAUAUGAUAUUAUUAGCAUUUGGAGUUUCUUACUUUAUUCCAUUGAAUAUAUUUCUAAGGCCAAGUUUCAUUUCUGAACUUCUGGUGCUAGCAGAAAAGGUUAGAUCCUCCUGCAUGUUCUUGUUAUUUGUAUUCCAUAGAGAUUGGAUCUAUAAAGUUGCUCUCUCUCUAUUUGCAAUGCAAAGUAAACUGCAGUGGAGCAUUUCUACUAUCUUCGAGUGGAGGAUGCUUGUAUAUAUCUUGGAUUUUAUACCAUCCAUAUACUAUAAGGGCAUGGUUACAUUCUAGAAAUUCCUUCCAUUCUUCAAUUUUGGUUAUAAAUUAUAAGUACGAGGGUUCAAGAUAUUUAAAUGCACUAUUUUUUUAUCACCUGAUUUCUUGAAUUGUUUUGUAUGUUUGUUUUGUUUCAAGUUAGAUUCAUAUUUGAACCUACAAGAAAGGACCUCACUUUUUCUUAGCUUUACCAGUAAUUCAGUCUCAAAGGAUAAAAUAGUGUAGUAUUGUUAUAUGGUCUGUAUAGCUGACCUUCCAAUAGUUGGAAAAGGCUUACAUGUUAUAGUAAUCUGUAAUCCAAAUAUAAUUCCUUGCACCAAUAAUCUCAGUGAGAUUGUAUCUUAUACUUAUGUUGUUACGAAGCUGAUAUUACCGAUUUUAAAAAUGUUUCUGGCAUGUGAACAGGCCUCUGAGCACUUAUGGCUGAAUUUAAUGGUGCACCAGUCCCAUCUGAUUCACUCUCUUAGUAGCUUGUUAUUGAACAAAUGCAGGUAUUGUAGCAUAGCAAUUUCUUGAGACACUUGAAGUUAAAAGGGGUUGCAGUUUUGGGGUUUCCGACAUUAAUAAGGGUUGUUGUCCACAUUUUGUUUAUUUGUUUGGUUUUUCUUUUUCAGUUAAUCAGCAUGCUUGUAUUAAUCCAGAUGCAACAGUAGUUGGAUGAUGAAUGAUAUAAUUGACUCGUUCAAGCUUUUGAUGGUUUUUGAACCAUGAACAAUAAGAAAUGAAUCAGAUAUGUUGAUGAAGAA
This is an RNA transcript of Gossypium raimondii (Peruvian cotton), 2023 nucleotides long. It is a transcript of the gene named protein BLISTER-like, with no coding region annotated. NCBI's taxonomy places the organism in Eukaryota, Viridiplantae, Streptophyta, Magnoliopsida, Malvales, Malvaceae. The transcript is spliced from 6 exons. The record is from RefSeq and is a predicted model, not a curated record.